Molecule: long non-coding RNA, 1617 nt
Organism: Monodelphis domestica (gray short-tailed opossum)
Lineage: Eukaryota; Metazoa; Chordata; Mammalia; Didelphimorphia; Didelphidae
Source: RefSeq, a predicted model, not a curated record
CAGAGAAAAUGGAGAUCCAUAUUGUGAUGGCAAGAAGGAUGAGAAGUUCCUUCCUUGGAACAGAAGAUCUGCUUUAGGUUCUACAGACAUAGCUACAUUGCUCAGCACAGGAAACCCUAAAUGGAUCAUGAAGAAUUGCAUAGAAUUGAAAUGAAUGAGCAGCAAUGGCAAAUGAGGAAUGUUGAUUAGAUCUGGAAGAAAAAAUGAUCCUUCUCUUUGAAAAAGGCAUCCUUCUGUUGACCAAAGGGGCUGGCAGUGCUUAGAUUUUGGAAGAUCAGACAUUGAAGAACUGAGCAUAUCUAGAUCCUGGCAAAAAGGAACAAGAAAAAGACAAGCAAUCUCCAUUAGACUGGUGACGCCAUCUUAUUUCCCUGGAAAAGAAGCAUGGAUAUAUUGGCUUUUGGAUAUCAGAAGGAGCAGCCCAACCCUGAUUGUGCCCAGUAGAAUGUGAGCUCCUUGAUGAAAGAUCCAAGUUCUUUAAACUUUCCUGGUCCAGGAGAAAGUAUAAAGUGUCCUUUGCUGACCCGACUCAAAGAGAAGAUCCAUGAAUCUUCAGAGUCCACAAGCCAUCUGCCUAAAAGAUCUCUACUCUGGCAUAAGUCUUUACUAUUUUCUGACUUUUCCUUCUAACUUCAAUUCAAUCCAACAAACAUCUAUUAUAUUUCUACUAAAUACAAGGUCCUGAGACCCAACGAUAAAAAUGAAACUGUCCCUAUUCUCAAAACACUUACUUUCUAUUGGGGGAUCCAGCACCAAGCACCCCACAGAGUGGCCCCAUAACGAAUGCUUUUUGUUUGACUAUUUUGUGGACACAGAUAAGUAAAUACAAAGUUUAUAUUUUAAAAAAUCAAAGAAAUUUGAAGUUCAAGAAAACAUCAACAAUUGGGGGAAUCAGGAAAGACUUCUUAUAGGUGGGAACCCCAGAGCAAUGCUUGAAAGAAAGCUAAAAAUCCAAGGAAGCAAAAGUAAUUUCUGCCUUUCCUCUCCUUCACUUUAUAUGCACUGGUUCCACUCUCUUUAGCUUCUUACCAGAAAGGUGGCUACUCAGUUGGUCACUGGAAGGUGAGUGACUAAAAGAAUGUGUAAUGAUGGGGAAAAGACCAUUUUCUAAGAAAGGCAAUAAAAACCCAGACUCAAAUGCAACCUAGUUCCAUCAAAGUAAAGAACUAACAUAAAGCAGCCAUGCUGUGACCUCAGACAGGCAAAAUAUAAUUGGGAGUUAAUUUGCCAUGAAAAUCUUAAUAUGUGAACUCACAGAUGAAUGGUUUAGAAAAGCAACAGGAGUAAUGGUCAUCAUAGAUACACUGUCAAAACAACAGUGACAAGAAUCCUUUGACUCUCCAGUGGCAAUAAGUCACUGGGAAAGUGCCAGAUCAGGUAAAGUUCUUAUUUAUAAAGUUAUCUGAUGAUUUCUAAUGCUUGAAAUGGGUCCAUUUUAAUUGUCUAUAAGCAUGAAAAUAGAAAUGAGGAGCAGGAGACAGCUGGAAUUGUACUGUAAUCCCUAUUUUCUACCAACUCUGACAACUACAAAGCCAUGUCUUUAAAGUUUGGGGGUUAUUUUAUGUGACUGACAUUUUCUUAUGCUAUUAUUAAAUUCCUCACACAUUUUUCCAUUAG